Molecule: non-coding RNA, 168 nt
Organism: Roseburia intestinalis XB6B4
Lineage: Bacteria; Bacillati; Bacillota; Clostridia; Lachnospirales; Lachnospiraceae
Source: Rfam
UUUGGGAGAAAAUUAGGCAAUCUUAGUCUGCCUGUCCGUAACACAGUGUUGUGCUGCCAUGGACGGCAGCACAAGUCUUAAUGUGCCCGGAUGGCACAUUUAAGACACACACGUCACUCUGCCACAAUCUGAACCAGGCAGCCUUAGAUUGUCUUAUUUUCGGACAAC